AUGCAGCGACAGCCGCGAUGGGUGAAGAAGUCAUUUACGGUAUGUAAAAGCCCUAUCAGCAGGGAAGAAGAUGACGGUACCUGCACAAGAAGCCCCGGCUAACUACGUGCCAGCAGCCGCGGUAAUACGUAGGGGGCAAGCGUUAUCCGGAUUUACUGGGUGUAAAGGGAGCGCAGACGGAAUGGCAAGUCAGAUGUGAAAGGCAUGGGCUCAACCCGUGGACUGCAUUUGAAACUGUCAAUCUUGAGUAUCGGAGGGGCAAGCGGAAUUCCUGGUGUAGAGGUGAAAUUCGUAGAUAUCAGGAGGAACACCGGUGGCGAAGGCGGCUUGCUGGACGAUAACUGACGUUGAGGCUCGAAAGCGUGGGGAGCAAACAGGAUUAGAUACCCUGGUAGUCCACGCAGUAAACGAUGAAUACUAGGUGCUGGGGUCCACAGGGCUUCGGUGCCGCCGCUAACGCAUUAAGUAUUCCACCUGGGGAGUACGUUCGCAAGAAUGAAACUCAAAGGAAUUGACGGGGACCCGCACAUAGCUGGUGGAGCAUGUGGUUUAAUUCGAAGCAACGCGAAGAACCUUACCAAGUCUUGACAUCUCCCUGAAAACUUGUGGAAACACUAGUCCCUCUUCGGAGCAGGGAUGACAGGUGGUGCAUGGUUGUCGUCAGCUCGUGUCGUGAGAUGUUGGGUUAAGUCCCGCAACGAGCGCAACCCUUAUGCUUAGUAGCCAGCGGUUUGGCCGGGCACUCUAGGCAGACUGCCAGGAAUAACCUGGAGGAAGGUGGGGAUGACGUCAAAUCAUCAUGCCCCUUAUGAUUUGGGCUACACACGUGCUACAAUGGCGCUUAACAGAGGGAAGCGAACCCGCGAGGGAGAGCAAAUCCCAAAAACAGCGUCCCAGUUCGGACUGCAGUCUGCAACCCGACUGCACGAAGCUGGAAUCGCUAGUAAUCGCGAAUCAGAAUGUCGCGGUGAAUACGUUCCCGGGUCUUGUACACACCGCCCGUCACACCAUGGGAGUCGAUAACGCCCGAAGCCGGUAUCCUAACUGCAAAGAUGGGAGCCGUCGAAGGCGGGAUUG
RNAcentral lists this ribosomal RNA (1077 nucleotides) under uncultured bacterium. Its description in RNAcentral is "bacterial SSU rRNA". It matches the Rfam family "Bacterial small subunit ribosomal RNA", at positions 386 to 1470 of the family's 1533-position model. The record is from RNAcentral.